This 253-nucleotide ribosomal RNA is filed under the name uncultured bacterium. RNAcentral's name for it is "partial 16S ribosomal RNA". It matches the Rfam family "Bacterial small subunit ribosomal RNA", at positions 524 to 776 of the family's 1533-position model. The record is from RNAcentral.
UACGUGGGGUGCGAGCGUUGUUCGGAAUUACUGGGCGUAAAGCGUGUGUAGGCGGCUCGCUAAGUCUGAUGUGAAAUCUCUGGGCUUAACCCAGAAACUGCAUCGGAAACUAGCGGGCUAGAAUUCGGGAGAGGGUCGUGGAAUUCCUGGUGUAGAGGUGAAAUUCGUAGAUAUCAGGAGGAACACCGGUGGCGAAGGCGGCGACCUGGACCGACAUUGACGCUAAUACACGAAAGCGUGGGGAGCAAACAGG